GCUGGGUGCAGUGGCAUGUGCCUGUAGUCCCAGGUACUUGGGAGGCUGAGGCUGGAGGAUCUCUUGAGCCCAGGAGUUCUGGGCUGUAGUGAGCUAUGCCGAUCAGGUGUCUGCAUUAAGUUCAGCAUCAAUAUGGUGACCUCCCGGGAGCGGGGGACCACCAGGUUGCCUAAGGAGGGGUGAACCAGCUCAGGUCGGAAAUGGAGCAGGUCAAAACUCCUGUGCUGAUCAGUAAUGGGAUUGUGCCUGUGAAUAGCCACUGCACUCCAGCCUGGGCAACAUAGCGAGACCCCCAUCUCA
RNAcentral lists this signal recognition particle RNA (300 nucleotides) under Saimiri boliviensis boliviensis (Bolivian squirrel monkey). RNAcentral's name for it is "Metazoan signal recognition particle RNA (ENSSBOG00000007891.1)". It matches the Rfam family "Metazoan signal recognition particle RNA". Rfam says of the family: The signal recognition particle (SRP) is a universally conserved ribonucleoprotein. It is involved in the co-translational targeting of proteins to membranes. The record is from RNAcentral. Lineage: Eukaryota; Metazoa; Chordata; Mammalia; Primates; Cebidae.